UGCCCCAUGGCUGAGUUGGUUACAGCGUCCGACUGUUACGGCUUAGAGUCAGUACAUCGGAAGGUCGUGAGUUCGAGCCUCACUGGGGCAG
Molecule: transfer RNA, 91 nt
Filed under: Steccherinum ochraceum
Lineage: Eukaryota; Fungi; Basidiomycota; Agaricomycetes; Polyporales; Steccherinaceae
Rfam family: tRNA
About the family: Transfer RNA (tRNA) molecules are approximately 80 nucleotides in length. Their secondary structure includes four short double-helical elements and three loops (D, anti-codon, and T loops).
Source: Rfam by way of RNAcentral